RNAcentral lists this ribosomal RNA (3142 nucleotides) under Streptomyces lunaelactis. Its description in RNAcentral is "bacterial LSU rRNA". It matches the Rfam family "Bacterial large subunit ribosomal RNA". Lineage: Bacteria; Bacillati; Actinomycetota; Actinomycetes; Kitasatosporales; Streptomycetaceae. The record is from RNAcentral.
ACAGUGGACGCGAGCAUCUGUGGCCAAGUUUUUAAGGGCGCACGGUGGAUGCCUUGGCACCAGGAACCGAUGAAGGACGUGGGAGGCCACGAUAGUCCCCGGGGAGCCGUCAACCAGGCUUUGAUCCGGGGUUUGAAUGGGAAACCGGCAGUCGUCAUGGGCUGUCACCGCUGCUGAACACAUAGGCAGUGUGGAGGGAACGAGGGGAAGUGAAACAUCUCAGUACCCUCAGGAAGAGAAAACAACCGUGAUUCCGGGAGUAGUGGCGAGCGAAACCGGAUGAGGCCAAACCGUAUGCGUGUGAUACCCGGCAGGGGUUGCGCAUACGGGGUUGUGGGAUUGCACUUCAACAGUCUGCCGGCUGUUGGGCAAGUCAGAAACCGUUGAUGUAGGCGAAGGACAUGCGAAAGGUCCGGCGUAGAGGGUAAGACCCCCGUAGCUGAAAUUCAUACGGCUCGUUUAAGAGACACCCAAGUAGCACGGGGCCCGAGAAAUCCCGUGUGAAUCUGGCGGGACCACCCGUUAAGCCUAAAUAUUCCCUGGUGACCGAUAGCGGAUAGUACCGUGAGGGAAUGGUGAAAAGUACCGCGGGAGCGGAGUGAAAUAGUACCUGAAACCGUGUGCCUACAAGCCGUGGGAGCGUCGCUCAUUGAGUUUACUCAAUGGGUCGUGACUGCGUGCCUUUUGAAGAAUGAGCCUGCGAGUUAGCGGUGUGUAGCGAGGUUAACCCGUGUGGGGAAGCCGUAGCGAAAGCGAGUCCGAACAGGGCGAUUGAGUUGCACGCUCUAGACCCGAAGCGGAGUGAUCUAGCCAUGGGCAGGUUGAAGCGGAGGUAAGACUUCGUGGAGGACCGAACCCACCAGGGUUGAAAACCUGGGGGAUGACCUGUGGUUAGGGGUGAAAGGCCAAUCAAACUCCGUGAUAGCUGGUUCUCCCCGAAAUGCAUUUAGGUGCAGCGUCGUGUGUUUCUUGCCGGAGGUAGAGCACUGGAUAGGCGAUGGGCCCUACCGGGUUACUGACCUUAGCCAAACUCCGAAUGCCGGUAAGUGAGAGCACGGCAGUGAGACUGUGGGGGAUAAGCUCCAUGGUCGAGAGGGAAACAGCCCAGAGCAUCGACUAAGGCCCCUAAGCGUACGCUAAGUGGGAAAGGAUGUGGAGUCGCAGAGACAACCAGGAGGUUGGCUUAGAAGCAGCCACCCUUGAAAGAGUGCGUAAUAGCUCACUGGUCAAGUGAUUCCGCGCCGACAAUGUAGCGGGGCUCAAGCGUACCGCCGAAGUCGUGUCAUUUCAGCAUAUAGGGCCAACGCCCGCUGGGAUGGGUAGGGAGCGUCGUGCCGGGUGAAGCCGCGCCGGAAGGCAGUGGUGGACGGUACACGAGUGAGAAUGCAGGCAUGAGUAGCGAUACACACGUGAGAAACGUGUGCGCCGAUUGACUAAGGGUUCCUGGGUCAAGCUGAUCUGCCCAGGGUAAGUCGGGACCUAAGGCGAGGCCGACAGGCGUAGUCGAUGGACAACCGGUUGAUAUUCCGGUACCCGCUUUGAAACGCCCAAUACUGAAUCCUCUAAUGCUAAGGCCGUGAAGCCGCCCUGAUCUCUUCGGAGUUGAGGGGAGUGGUGGAGCCGCCGGCCCAAGGUGGUAGUAGGUAAGCGAUGGGGUGACGCAGGAAGGUAGUCCAGCCCGGGCGGUGGUUGUCCCGGGGUAAGGGUGUAGGCCGUGUGGCAGGUAAAUCCGUCACACAUUAAGGCUGAGACCUGAUGCCGAGCCGAUUGUGGUGAAGUGGAUGAUCCUAUGCUGUCGAGAAAAGCCUCUAGCGAGUUUCAUGGCGGCCCGUACCCUAAACCGACUCAGGUGGUCAGGUAGAGAAUACCGAGGCGUUCGGGUGAACUAUGGUUAAGGAACUCGGCAAAAUGCCCCCGUAACUUCGGGAGAAGGGGGGCCAUCACUGGUGAGAGGACUUGCUCCUUGAGCUGGGGGUGGCCGCAGAGACCAGCGAGAAGCGACUGUUUACUAAAAACACAGGUCCGUGCGAAGCCGUAAGGCGAUGUAUACGGACUGACGCCUGCCCGGUGCUGGAACGUUAAGGGGACCGGUUAGUGCGCUUUCGGGCGUGCGAAGCUGAGAACUUAAGCGCCAGUAAACGGCGGUGGUAACUAUAACCAUCCUAAGGUAGCGAAAUUCCUUGUCGGGUAAGUUCCGACCUGCACGAAUGGCGUAACGACUUCUCGACUGUCUCAACCAUAGGCCCGGUGAAAUUGCACUACGAGUAAAGAUGCUCGUUUCGCGCAGCAGGACGGAAAGACCCCGGGACCUUUACUACAGUUUGAUAUUGGUGUUCGGUUCGGCUUGUGUAGGAUAGGUGGGAGACUUUGAAGCGGCCACGCCAGUGGUUGUGGAGUCGCCGUUGAAAUACCACUCUGGUCGUGCUGGAUGUCUAACCUGGGUCCGUGAUCCGGAUCAGGGACAGUGUCUGAUGGGUAGUUUAACUGGGGCGGUUGCCUCCUAAAGAGUAACGGAGGCGCCCAAAGGUUCCCUCAGCCUGGUUGGCAAUCAGGUGUUGAGUGUAAGUGCACAAGGGAGCUUGACUGUGAGACCGACGGGUCGAGCAGGGACGAAAGUCGGGACUAGUGAUCCGGCGGUGGCUUGUGGAAGCGCCGUCGCUCAACGGAUAAAAGGUACCCCGGGGAUAACAGGCUGAUCUUCCCCAAGAGUCCAUAUCGACGGGAUGGUUUGGCACCUCGAUGUCGGCUCGUCGCAUCCUGGGGCUGGAGUCGGUCCCAAGGGUUGGGCUGUUCGCCCAUUAAAGCGGUACGCGAGCUGGGUUUAGAACGUCGUGAGACAGUUCGGUCCCUAUCCGCUGCGCGCGCAGGAGUCUUGAGAAGGGCUGUCCCUAGUACGAGAGGACCGGGACGGACGAACCUCUGGUGUGCCAGUUGUCCUGCCAAGGGCAUGGCUGGUUGGCUACGUUCGGAAAGGAUAACCGCUGAAAGCAUCUAAGCGGGAAGCCUGCUUCGAGAUGAGGACUCCCACCUCCUAGAGAGGGUAAGGCUCCCAGUAGACGACUGGGUUGAUAGGCCGGAUAUGGAAGCACCGCAAGGUGUGGAGUUGACCGGUACUAAUAGGCCGAGGGCUUGUCCUCAGUUG